Molecule: ribosomal RNA, 458 nt
Filed under: uncultured beta proteobacterium
Lineage: Bacteria; Pseudomonadati; Pseudomonadota; Betaproteobacteria
Description: bacterial SSU rRNA
Rfam family: Bacterial small subunit ribosomal RNA
Source: RNAcentral
GAAAGCAGGGGAUCGUAAGACCUUGUGCUUUUGGAGUGGCCGAUGCCUGAUUAGCUAGUUGGUAGGGUAAUGGCCUACCAAGGCGACGAUCAGUAGUUGGUCUGAGAGGACGACCAGCCACACUGGGACUGAGACACGGCCCAGACUCCUACGGGAGGCAGCAGUGGGGAAUUUUGGACAAUGGGCGCAAGCCUGAUCCAGCAAUGCCGCGUGAGUGAAGAAGGCCUUCGGGUUGUAAAGCUCUUUCAGUUGAGAAGAAAAGGUUGUGACUAAUAAUCACAACUCAUGACGGUAUCGACAGAAGAAGCACCGGCUAACUACGUGCCAGCAGCCGCGGUAAUACGUAGGGUGCGAGCGUUAAUCGGAAUUACUGGGCGUAAAGGGUGCGCAGGCGGCUUUGUAAGUCAGAUGUGAAAUCCCCGGGCUUAACCUGGGAAUUGCGUUUGAAACUCAAAGCU